RNAcentral lists this long non-coding RNA (2258 nucleotides) under Homo sapiens (human). Its description in RNAcentral is "HSALNT0309950". Lineage: Eukaryota; Metazoa; Chordata; Mammalia; Primates; Hominidae. The record is from RNAcentral.
GGGCCUGUGGGAUUCAGAUGUGAUAAUGGAAAAGUGGAUAAAUGACAGCUCUGGGCAUCAGUUUCAAGGAAGUGCUCAGCUGAAUAUAGAAAUCAAAUGGAAGAAAACAAAUAACACUUUGUGGAUCCUCUCCCCUCGAAACUUGAAUUGUUCCUUGCUCCUCUGUGCUUCCCAAAAGAAGACAAAAGGUCAACUGGUAACCUUUCACGGCUCUUAGAGCUGGGUGACUUUCUUCUCAAUUUAUACAAACAAGGUAUGUACACACAGCUCUAAAUGACUUGGUUAACAGUCCAAAAAUACUUGGUUAUUUCACUGAUGCUGAAUAAUUCCCUGCCACCUUCACCAAUGAACAGUUAAAAAAAAAAAAGCAAGCUUAGUUCUUGUAUUCAUUUGAAAUCAUAGUAACUGAUGAGUUUGGUAACUUACAGUUCUAGAAUUGUUUCCUGUGACACGGUGGAACUAGAAUAUCUCGAAAGUAUUCCUACUGCUCCAUUCUAUAAAGUACAAUAGUUUCACCUUAUCUGCAGUUUGGCUUACCCACCAUCCAAAAAAAUUAAAUGGAAAAUUCUAGAAAUAAACAAUUCAUAAGUUUUUAGUCAUGCACCGUUCUGAGUGGCCUGGGGAAAUCUCCUGCGCUCCUGCUCCACCUCGCCUUGGAUACAAAUCCUUCUUUUGUCCAGCAUAUCCACACUUUCUACCCACCCAUCUGUUAGUAACUUCAUAGCCGGCUCAAUUACCAGGUGGACUGCUGUGGUAUUGCAGUGCUUAUGUUCAAGUAACCCUUCUUUUACUUCAUCAUGGCCUCAAAGCACGAGAGUAGUGAUGCUGACAAUUUGGAUAUACCAAAGAGAAGCUGUAAAAUGCUUCCUUUCAGUGAAAAAGUGAAAGUUCUACAUUUAAUAAGAUGUCUUCUACGAACAUUUGUUUCCCAAACCAGAGAAACCCUUAUUCACUCAUUAACCAUUGGGAUUUUUGUUCAAAGGCCCAUGAAUUAUUGCUACUUUAAAUUUGCAAGCAAAUUUAUAAUUGGAUCCUGAUGUCCCAGCACCCAUAAAUAUUUUAUAAUAAUUGUACAAACAACACUUACAUUAAGGACAUGAACGAUUAAAAUAGGGAGACCCCCAUCUCUACCAAAAAAUAGGAAGAAGAAGAAGAAGAAGAAGAAGAAGAAGAAGAAGAAGAAGAAGAAGAAGAAGAGGAAGAACAAGGAAGAGGAGGAGGAGGAAGGGAGGAAGAAAAGAAAAAAUAUUAGCCCGUGGUGGUGGCACACACCUAUAGUCCCAGCUAUUUGGGACGCUGAGGCCAGAAGACCCCUUGAGGCCAGGAGUUUGAGGCUGCAGUGAGCCAUGAUUAUGCUACUGUGCUCCAGCCUGUGAGACAGAGUGAUAUCUUAUGUCAAAAUAAAUAAAUAAGUAUUGGUGAAAAUAUAAUAGGAUAAAAUUGCAAGCCAUAGGAAAUGGAAGUCUAGCACUUACAGAGAGAUGGUAAUAUUGUGAAGCAACAGUGUAUUGAAAUUAUGAAAUAAGAGUUUUUCAUGCAAAUGUGAGGAAUUUGCUGAGGACAAGUAAGAAGAAGGCCAAUUCCUAUUGUGCAAAUCCUCUGGUCACUGGCUUCAACUAAUAAGGACAAGCAAAAGCAUAGGAAGUCAUUUCCCUCCUACAAAGAUCAUUGCAAUGAAUGGGAACUGGUGCUUUCUGUGGCUCACGCCCAGUGGGUCUGAGGGGAAAUAGAAUCAAUAAAACUUUAAACAUAGUAAGUGCUAAAUGAACACUUCAUGAAUUGAAAGCUGACUAGAAAGCCAGCUAUGAAGACAUAUUCUAGAACCACUGGCUGGGGAGGAAAAAAAGCACACCGAAUAAAGCACAAGCUGCAAUAAUCUCUUUAGUUAAUAUCCGACUUAUUUUUUUUUAAGUAUAAUGCAGUACAUUUCCACAGUGCAGAAUUAGAAAAUGCAGAAACGAAAAAAAAAUGAUUUAAAUGAUAGUAGUCUAUGAUUUAUCACCUGACGCAGCCACAGUCUAGCUUUGUGAUUGCAAGUGACUUAAUUAAGUCUUAUUAAGUCUCACUUCACUCAAAGCAUGCAAUCAUAAUCCCUUCUUAACGUUUUGAUGGGGAUGAAUGAGAUAAUAGGUAGCUUAGCACAAAAUCUGGCACAUAAUAAUUGAGUAGCAAAAUGGGUAGAUUUAAUGUUAAAAUACUAUAUUUUACAAAUGUAUGUCUAGUCUUUGUUUCAUUGUAUGGAUAACAGAUUUCAGAGU